Molecule: ribosomal RNA, 306 nt
Filed under: Triticum aestivum (bread wheat)
Lineage: Eukaryota; Viridiplantae; Streptophyta; Magnoliopsida; Poales; Poaceae
Description: partial small subunit ribosomal RNA
Source: RNAcentral
AUGGAGGAAGAAGAUGAUGUAUGGUGCCACGGGCAAGAAGAUGGGGAGCCGCCUGACAAUGGCGGCGAUAGGGGCUGGCUGGACGCCCUGUACACACAGGAGGCAUGCCCUUUGCCCACGUUGACCACAACGGAAGUUUCUGCAGGUGGGGCCAACCCAAGAUUAAACAAGACUCUUGCAGGGGCUGUCUGCUCUUGGAGGGGCAGUGCCUGGCCGUCCUUCAUGCAAGUGCGUGCCACUGGGUCUCUUGUUGCUUGGCAUGCCAAAAAGGUGGGCUGCCAAAAGCAAAAAUAUGUGUCUACCUAG